GCACCCAGGUCUGCGGUAGCUACCCGCUGAGUUUAAGCAUAUCAAUAA
Molecule: ribosomal RNA, 48 nt
Filed under: Opuntia robusta (nopal tapon)
Lineage: Eukaryota; Viridiplantae; Streptophyta; Magnoliopsida; Caryophyllales; Cactaceae
Description: 26S ribosomal RNA
Source: RNAcentral